UACGUAGGGGGCAAGCGUUGUCCGGAAUCAUUGGGCGUAAAGCGCGUGUAGGCGGCUCGGUAAGUCCGCUCUGAAAGUCCAGGGCUCAACCCUGGGAUGCGGGUGGAUACUGCCGGGCUCGAGUCCGGAAGAGGCGAGUGGAAUUCCCGGUGUAGUGGUGAAAUGCGUAGAUAUCGGGAGGAACACCAGUGGCGAAGGCGACUACCUGGCCUGUUCUUGACGCUGAGGCGCGAAAGCUAGGGGAGCAAACGGG
This 253-nucleotide ribosomal RNA is filed under the name uncultured bacterium. RNAcentral describes it as "partial 16S ribosomal RNA". It matches the Rfam family "Bacterial small subunit ribosomal RNA", at positions 524 to 776 of the family's 1533-position model. The record is from RNAcentral.